GAAGAUAGAGGUUGAGAACCUGUCACCAACGCGGCAUCUCUUAUGAGAUGUGUCAGAAAUGUAGGAGACCCGACAGUCCUACCUAUCGUU
This 90-nucleotide non-coding RNA is filed under the name unclassified sequences. RNAcentral's name for it is "skipping-rope RNA". It matches the Rfam family "skipping-rope RNA". From Rfam's summary of the family: Firmicutes, Fusobacteria, AlphaProteobacteria, Spirochaetes. Downstream gene The record is from Rfam by way of RNAcentral.